RNAcentral lists this long non-coding RNA (199 nucleotides) under Panax ginseng (ginseng). RNAcentral's name for it is "long non-coding RNA (PGIN_LNC000136)". Lineage: Eukaryota; Viridiplantae; Streptophyta; Magnoliopsida; Apiales; Araliaceae. The record is from RNAcentral.
GGAUUCAGACUUAGAACGAAGAAACGAGCGUUGAACGUUCAUGAACGUUUAUCGUUUUUGUUAAAAAUGAACCAAUAGGUGAAUUUUUAGCAAACGAAGUCAAAUAGAUAAAAUUCUUACAUGAACGCGUAGAUUACGUAAUUUGUGAACCGUAGGUUUUGAACGAGCCAAUUCGGACUUAUAACGAAGAAGUUAUGCG